GAUGAACGCUGGCGGCGUGCCUAAUGCAUGCAAGUCGAGCGAACGGACGAGAAGCUUGCUUCUCUGAUGUUAGCGGCGGACGGGUGAGUAACACGUGGAUAACCUACCUAUAAGACUGGGAUAACUUCGGGAAACCGGAGCUAAUACCGGAUAAUAUUUUGAACCGCAUGGUUCAAAAGUGAAAGACGGUCUUGCUGUCACUUAUAGAUGGAUCCGCGCUGCAUUAGCUAGUUGGUAAGGUAACGGCUUACCAAGGCAACGAUGCAUAGCCGACCUGAGAGGGUGAUCGGCCACACUGGAACUGAGACACGGUCCAGACUCCGACGGGAGGCAGCAGUAGGGAAUCUUCCGCAAUGGGCGAAAGCCUGACGGAGCAACGCCGCGUGAGUGAUGAAGGUCUUCGGAUCGUAAAACUCUGUUAUUAGGGAAGAACAUAUGUGUAAGUAACUGUGCACAUCUUGACGGUACCUAAUCAGAAAGCCACGGCUAACUACGUG
Molecule: ribosomal RNA, 497 nt
Filed under: uncultured bacterium
Lineage: Bacteria
Description: partial 16S ribosomal RNA
Rfam family: Bacterial small subunit ribosomal RNA
Source: RNAcentral